GGUGAACGCUGGCGGCGUGCUUAAGACAUGCAAGUCGAACGCAGUCUUCGGACUGAGUGGCGCACGGGUGAGUACCACGUAACUGACCUACCCCCAAGUCGCGGAUAACUGGCCGAAAGGUCAGCUAAUACGUGAUGUGAUGUCCCCUUUCUGGGGGGCCAUUAAAGGUUUACUGCUUGGGGAUGGGGUUGCGUUCCAUCAGCUAGUUGGCGGGGUAAAGGCCCACCAAGGCAACGACGGAUAGCCGGCCCGAGAGGGUGGCCGGCCACAGGGGCACUGAGACACGGGUCCCACUCCUACGGGAGGCAGCAGUUAGGAAUCUUCCACAAUGGGCGAAAGCCUGAUGGAGCGACGCCGCGUGAGGGAUGAAGGUUCUCGGAUCGUAAACCUCUGAAUCAGGGACGAAAGACGCGUAAGCGGGGUGACGGUACCUGAGUAAUAGCACCGGCUAACUCCGUGCCAGCAGCCGCCGUAA
Molecule: ribosomal RNA, 475 nt
Filed under: uncultured bacterium
Lineage: Bacteria
Description: partial 16S ribosomal RNA
Rfam family: Bacterial small subunit ribosomal RNA
Source: RNAcentral